CUACGUGCCAGCAGCCGCGGUAAUACGGAAGGUCCGGGCGUUAUCCGGAUUUAUUGGGUUUAAAGGGAGCGUAGGUUGGAGAUUAAGUGUGUUGUGAAAUGUAGACGCUCAACGUCUGACUUGCAGCGCAUACUGGUUUCCUUGAGUACGCACAACGUUGGCGGAAUUCGUCGUGUAGCGGUGAAAUGCUUAGAUAUGACGAAGAACUCCGAUUGCGAAGGCAGCUGGCGGGAGCGCAACUGACGCUGAAGCUCGAAGGUGCGGGUAUCGAACAGGAUUAGAUACCCUGGUAGUCCGCACAGUAAACGAUGGAUGCCCGCUGUUGGUACCUGGUAUCAGCGGCUAAGCGAAAGCAUUAAGCAUCCCACCUGGGGAGUACGCCGGCAACGGUGAAACUCAAAGGAAUUGACGGGGGCCCGCACAAGCGGAGGAACAUGUGGUUUAAUUCGAUGAUACGCGAGGAACCUUACCCGGGCUUGAA
Molecule: ribosomal RNA, 481 nt
Filed under: uncultured bacterium
Lineage: Bacteria
Description: bacterial SSU rRNA
Rfam family: Bacterial small subunit ribosomal RNA
Source: RNAcentral